Molecule: long non-coding RNA, 213 nt
Filed under: Elaeis guineensis (African oil palm)
Lineage: Eukaryota; Viridiplantae; Streptophyta; Magnoliopsida; Arecales; Arecaceae
Description: long non-coding RNA (EGUI_LNC033417)
Source: RNAcentral
CACUCACUCAAGCUCAUGUACACUAAUGACUUGCAUGCUCUCACCCUCUUUGGGUUCAAACUUGGUACAAUAAUGGAUUAGCCCCUCAAAGCCCAUGACUCCUGGGCCUUAAGAUUGUAAAGGCAGCCUGCCUCCACCUUAGGGCUCAAACCAGCCUCAGAACCUCCAUGAAUACUUUAUGGACUUCAAACUUUGACCUUCUUCUUGACCAUC